This 253-nucleotide ribosomal RNA is filed under the name uncultured bacterium. RNAcentral's name for it is "partial 16S ribosomal RNA". It matches the Rfam family "Bacterial small subunit ribosomal RNA", at positions 524 to 776 of the family's 1533-position model. The record is from RNAcentral.
UACAGAGGGUGCGAGCGUUGUCCGGAAUCACUGGGCGUAAAGGGCGCGUAGGUGGCGACCCAAGUCGAUGGUGAAAGCUCGCCGCUCAACGGCGAGUCGGCCACCGAUACUGGGUUGCUCGAGCACUGUAGAGGCUAAUGGAAUUCCGGGUGUAGCGGUGGAAUGCGUAGAGAUCCGGAAGAACACCGGUGGCGAAGGCGGUUAGCUGGGCAGUUGCUGACACUGAGGCGCGACAGCGGGGGGAGCAAACAGG